This 491-nucleotide ribosomal RNA is filed under the name uncultured bacterium. RNAcentral describes it as "partial 16S ribosomal RNA". It matches the Rfam family "Bacterial small subunit ribosomal RNA", at positions 29 to 507 of the family's 1533-position model. The record is from RNAcentral.
AGUGAACGCUGGCGGUAGGCCUAACACAUGCAAGUCGAACGGCAGCACAGUAAGAGCUUGCUCUUACGGGUGGCGAGUGGCGGACGGGUGAGGAAUACAUCGGAAUCUACUUUUUCGUGGGGGAUAACGUAGGGAAACUUACGCUAAUACCGCAUACGACCUACGGGUGAAAGCAGGGGAUCUUCGGACCUUGCGCGAUUGAAUGAGCCGAUGUCGGAUUAGCUAGUUGGCGGGGUAAAGGCCCACCAAGGCGACGAUCCGUAGCUGGUCUGAGAGGAUGAUCAGCCGCACUGGAACUGAGACACGGUCCAGACUCCUACGGGAGGCAGCAGUGGGGAAUAUUGGACAAUGGGCGCAAGCCUGAUCCAGCCAUACCGCGUGGGUGAAGAAGGCCUUCGGGUUGUAAAGCCCUUUGUUGGGAAAGAAAAGCAGCAGGUUAAUACCCCGCUGUUCUGACGGUACCCAAAGAAUAAGCACCGGCUAACUUCGUG